GGGGGGGGAGGGUGCUGCUGUUUGUUGUAUGUUUGAUUGUUUGUUUGUUUCUUGGGUUUCUGGUAGCAUGCACAGAACUUAUAUUUUCUCUUACUUCCACAGUGCUGUUAUUACCACUGGUCAAGCUUCAUCCGUUUCAUGGGCUGUACGACUUCAUUUGUUCUGAUUAUUUUGCCAAAGAUUAAGGAUUGGUUUUCCCAGCUUCUGAGAAUUUUGUUCCAGAUAUACCCAACCAAACAUUCAGUGGAAAAAAAGAAUGUGAAGGACAACUCUGAUUCAGCUGUCAAUCAUAUCACUGUAUAAACCAGGUGAGAAACAUCAAUGUUGUAGCAAUCAUGUCUCUAUGAGUUUUCCUUAACUUUCAGUUAUCUCAGUGGUUCUUUGCCACAGUAAUAUCUGAGAAGACCUACACUUACCCGCUUAUACCUAUAGUCUCAGUUAUACGAAAUACUGUUUCAACAAUGUUUUCUUUUAAAAACAGUUAUCUCCCUUUUCUGCUGUCCCAUAUUAUCCCUUGGGCUAUAUAAGCUUUAUGCAGAAGACAAUUUGGCAUCUGUCAACCAGUGCUUUUUCUCCUUUUUCUCUGAGAGAGGCACUAACUUCUUUCAAGAACUCCUUUCCAGGGACUUCAUACUGACUAAGAUAUCUUAAUCUUCACUUAAAAAAACCAGGCUAAAUUAUGUAGAUAUCAGUAUUAGCAAUGAGAACUUGUUUCUCUGCCAACCAGGUAUGUGUCUUGCAGUAGGGUCAUCAAAGAUUCCAACAUGCCAGCAUGAAGCCUAUGUCAGCAAAGCCUCAGGUG
RNAcentral lists this long non-coding RNA (802 nucleotides) under Cyanistes caeruleus (blue tit). Its description in RNAcentral is "lncRNA (ENSCCEG00000023426.1)". Lineage: Eukaryota; Metazoa; Chordata; Aves; Passeriformes; Paridae. The record is from RNAcentral.